Molecule: long non-coding RNA, 189 nt
Organism: Tachysurus fulvidraco (yellow catfish)
Lineage: Eukaryota; Metazoa; Chordata; Actinopteri; Siluriformes; Bagridae
Exons: 2
Source: RefSeq, a predicted model, not a curated record
GAGUUCUUGUAUUUGGGUCAGAUCAUGUCAAGCAAGUAAUCUCAUGGCCACACAUUGGUGAUUCACAGCAGCUUGGUCCACAGUUGAAUCAUGUGAAGGAGCUGUGCAUGUUUGGGGUGAAUGAGGGGGUGUGUGAUGCCCUGUGAUGACGUAGUGAAUAGAAAUAAAAGCCCUCAUUUCAACACUGAA